Molecule: ribosomal RNA, 610 nt
Filed under: uncultured archaeon
Lineage: Archaea
Description: bacterial SSU rRNA
Rfam family: Archaeal small subunit ribosomal RNA
Source: RNAcentral
AAAUGUUCUUCGUGAACAUGGCGGACUGCGUCAGUAACACGUGGAUAACCUGCCCUUAGGAUUGGCAUAACACCGGGAAACUGGUGAUAAUACCGAAUAGACCAUUUAUGCUGGAAUGCUUUUUGGUUCAAAGGCUUCGGCUGCCUAAGGAUGGAUCUGCGGCCUAUCAGGUAGUAGUGGGUGUAAUGUACCUACUAGCCUACGACGGGUACGGGUUGUGAGAGCAAGAGCCCGGAGAUGGAUUCUGAGACAUGAAUCCAGGCCCUACGGGGCGCAGCAGGCGCGAAAACUUUACAAUGCGGGAAACCGCGAUAAGGGGACACUGAGUGCCAGCAUAUUAUGUUGGCUGUCCACAUGUAUAAAAAUCAUGUGUUAGCAAGGGCCGGGCAAGACCGGUGCCAGCCGCCGCGGUAACACCGGCGGCCCGAGUGGUGAUCACUUUUAUUGGGUCUAAAGGGUCCGUAGUCGGUUUAAUCAGUCUUCUGGGAAAUCUGACAGCUCAACUGUUAGGCUUUCAGGGGAUACUGUUAGACUUGGGACCGGGAGAGGUAAGAGGUACUUUAGGGGUAGGAGUGAAAUCUUGUAAUCCUUAAGGGACCACCAGUGGCGA